Molecule: ribosomal RNA, 393 nt
Filed under: uncultured bacterium
Lineage: Bacteria
Description: partial 16S ribosomal RNA
Rfam family: Bacterial small subunit ribosomal RNA
Source: RNAcentral
AUACGGAGGAUGCGAGCGUUAUCCGGAUUUAUUGGGUUUAAAGGGUGCGUAGGCGGGCUGUUAAGCGUGAGGUGAAAGCUCGGGGCUCAACCCCGGAACUGCCUCGCGAACUGGCGGUCUUGAAUGUCCGUGCCGUGGGAGGAAUGUGUGGUGUAGCGGUGAAAUGCAUAGAGAUCACACAGAACACCGAUUGCGAAGGCAUCUCACGAACGGAUGAUUGACGCUGAGGCACGAAAGCGUGGGGAUAGAACAGGAUUAGAUACCCUGGUAUUCCACGCCGUAAACGAUGAUGACUAACCGUCGGCGAUAGACAGCCGGUGGCCAAGCGAAAGCGAUAAGUCAUCCACCUGGGGAGUACGUCGGCAACGAUGAAACUCAAAUGAAUUGACGGGG